This 505-nucleotide ribosomal RNA is filed under the name uncultured bacterium. RNAcentral's name for it is "partial 16S ribosomal RNA". It matches the Rfam family "Bacterial small subunit ribosomal RNA", at positions 28 to 507 of the family's 1533-position model. The record is from RNAcentral.
GACGAACGCUGGCGGCGUGCCUAAUACAUGCAAGUGGGACGCAAGGAAACACACUGUGCUUGCACACCGUGUUUUCUUGAGUCGCGAACGGGUGAGUAACGCGUAGGUAACCUGCCUAUUAGCGGGGGAUAACUAUUGGAAACGAUAGCUAAUACCGCAUAAUAUUAAUUAUUGCAUGAUAAUUGAUUGAAAGAUGCAAGCGCAUCACUAGUAGAUGGACCUGCGUUGUAUUAGCUAGUUGGUAAAGUAAGAGCUUACCAAGGCGACGAUACAUAGCCGACCUGAGAGGGUGAUCGGCCACACUGGGACUGAGACACGGCCCAGACUCCUACGGGAGGCAGCAGUAGGGAAUCUUCGGCAAUGGACGAAAGUCUGACCGAGCAACGCCGCGUGAGUGAAGAAGGGUUUCGGAUCGUAAAGCUCUGUUGUAAGUCAAGAACGUGUGUGAGAGUGGAAAGUUCACACAGUGACGGUAGCUUACCAGAAAGGGACGGCUAACUACGUG